RNAcentral lists this long non-coding RNA (783 nucleotides) under Malus domestica (apple). RNAcentral's name for it is "long non-coding RNA (MDOM_LNC000810)". The record is from RNAcentral. Lineage: Eukaryota; Viridiplantae; Streptophyta; Magnoliopsida; Rosales; Rosaceae.
AAUCACAUUCAACUCAUAGUUUUUUUAUUCAAACCAUUUUAAGAAAAAAAUUAAAGCCCGAAAGACUUUAAACCUUCAGUCUCAGACUUCAAUUCAUCCAACCCAAUCUCAUUUCACCAUACCAUAUUCCAAUUUCCUAAUUAGUUAUCCUCACCCCCCACCCAAUCGUACCAAUUCUUCUAAAUUGCAAAAUAUUAGUGAUCUUAAAAAAAAUAUGAAAAAGGUCGCAUCGAGUAUUUUAAUAUGUACAUUUAUUUAGAGUGCGGAUAUACUCAUCCGUUUCUUUUAUUUCUCCACCUACUUUUUAAUAAAAAGGUUAUUCAGAGAUUUACACCUAGAAGCUGUGUUGAUUUUUAAUGUUCCAACUUCCAAUGAACUACGUUGCUCUCUCCGGCUCCUUUUCUUUCUCUACACCCUCACAAUAUAUCCUCAUUUUCUUGUUUUUUCUUUUUUAAUUUUUUGUUAUUCUUGUUAGUCACCAGAUUUGUUAAUUUUGGAAUUUUAGUUAUUAGGUUAUUUUUGGGAGCAGCCUCUCCAUAAAUGGGGGUAAGGCUAGCCGACAUUCACCUCUCCCAGACCCUGCGUAAAGCGGGAGCCUUGUGCACUGGGUACGACAUUUUUUUAGUUAUUAGGUUAUUUUUAAAUAAUAUCUUAGGUUAUUUUUAAAUUUUUUUUAUUGGAUAUAAUUGUGAUUCCUUACUUGACUAAGUUGACAUUCAAUUAAGAGAGUAUUAAAGAUAAAAUUUAGUAAUUAAUUAUAUUUUUAAUGUGUGAUUUUUCUCC